GAAAAUUUAGUUUAAGAAAAACGGUAGGUUUGUAACUUUCAAUUAUUAAUUUAAUUUUCU
Molecule: transfer RNA, 60 nt
Filed under: Liposcelis bostrychophila
Lineage: Eukaryota; Metazoa; Arthropoda; Insecta; Psocodea; Liposcelididae
Description: tRNA-Thr
Source: RNAcentral